Molecule: ribosomal RNA, 145 nt
Filed under: Lomentospora prolificans
Lineage: Eukaryota; Fungi; Ascomycota; Sordariomycetes; Microascales; Microascaceae
Description: 5.8S ribosomal RNA
Rfam family: 5.8S ribosomal RNA
About the family: 5.8S ribosomal RNA (5.8S rRNA) is a component of the large subunit of the eukaryotic ribosome. It is transcribed by RNA polymerase I as part of the 45S precursor that also contains 18S and 28S rRNA. Functionally, it is thought that 5.8S rRNA may be involved in ribosome translocation.
Source: RNAcentral
AACAACGGAUCUCUUGGUUCUGGCAUCGAUGAAGAACGCAGCGAAAUGCGAUAAGUAAUGUGAAUUGCAGAAUUCAGUGAAUCAUCGAAUCUUUGAACGCACAUUGCGCCGGCAGUAAUCUGCCGGCAUGCCUGUCCGAGCGUCA